Molecule: ribosomal RNA, 322 nt
Filed under: uncultured Chloroflexota bacterium
Lineage: Bacteria; Bacillati; Chloroflexota
Description: bacterial SSU rRNA
Rfam family: Bacterial small subunit ribosomal RNA
Source: RNAcentral
AACGAACGCUGGCGGCGUGCCUAAUACAUGCAAGUCGAACGGAGAAUGUAGCAAUACGUUCUUAGUGGCGAACGGGUGAGUAACGCGUUGGUGACCUGCCCCAAAGAGGGGGAUAACAGUUCGAAAGGACUGCUAAUACCGCAUGUGGUUGGGAAGAUUAGAAGCUUUCCAACGAAAAGAGAAAUCUGCUUCGGGAGGGGCCUGCGACCCAUCAGCUAGUUGGUAGGGUAAAAGCCUACCAAGGCGACGACGGGUAGGGGACCUGAGAGGGUGACCCCCCACACUGGCACUGAAACACGGGCCAGACACCUACGGGUGGCUG